GAUGAACGCUGGCGGUAUGCUUAACACAUGCCAGUCGAACGGACUCUUCGGAGUUAGUGGCGGACGGGUGAGUAACGCGUGAGAAUCUGGCUUUGGGUUCGGGACAACCACUGGAAACGGUGGCUAAUACCGGAUGUGCCGAGAGGUAAAAGAGAAAUUGCCUGAAGAUGAGCUCGCGUCUGAUUAGCUAGUUGGUGAGGUAAAGGCUCACCAAGGCAGCGAUCAGUAGCUGGUCUGAGAGGAUGACCAGCCACACUGGGACUGAGACACGGCCCAGACUCCUACGGGAGGCAGCAGUGGGGAAUUUUCCGAAAUGGGCGAAAGCCUGACGGAGCAAUACCGCGUGAGGGAAGAAGGCUCUUGGGUUGUAAACCUCUUUUCUUAGGGAAGAACAAAAUGACGGUACCUAAGGAAUCAGCAUCGGCUAACUCCGUG
Molecule: ribosomal RNA, 435 nt
Filed under: uncultured bacterium
Lineage: Bacteria
Description: partial 16S ribosomal RNA
Rfam family: Bacterial small subunit ribosomal RNA
Source: RNAcentral